GUGGGGAAUUUUGGACAAUGGGCGCAAGCCUGAUCCAGCAAUGCCGCGUGCAGGAAGAAGGCCUUCGGGUUGUAAACUGCUUUUGUACGGAACGAAACGGUCCGGGUUAAUACCCUGGGCUAAUGACGGUACCGUAAGAAUAAGCACCGGCUAACUACGUGCCAGCAGCCGCGGUAAUACGUAGGGUGCAAGCGUUAAUCGGAAUUACUGGGCGUAAAGCGUGCGCAGGCGGUUUUGUAAGACAGGCGUGAAAUCCCCGGGCUCAACCUGGGAAUUGCGCUUGUGACUGCAAGGCUGGAGUGCGGCAGAGGGGGAUGGAAUUCCGCGUGUAGCAGUGAAAUGCGUAGAUAUGCAGAGGAACACCGAUGGCGAAGGCAAUCCCCUGGGCCUGCACUGACGCUCAUGCACGAAAGCGUGGGGAGCAAACAGGAUUAGAAACCCGAGUAGUCC
Molecule: ribosomal RNA, 450 nt
Filed under: uncultured bacterium
Lineage: Bacteria
Description: partial 16S ribosomal RNA
Rfam family: Bacterial small subunit ribosomal RNA
Source: RNAcentral